RNAcentral lists this transfer RNA (105 nucleotides) under Fomitopsis schrenkii. RNAcentral's name for it is "tRNA-Gly (GCC) (tRNA-Gly-GCC-3-1)". Lineage: Eukaryota; Fungi; Basidiomycota; Agaricomycetes; Polyporales; Fomitopsidaceae. The record is from RNAcentral.
GGCGCGAGGUCCUGUAGUGUAGUGGUUUAUCACUUGCUCUGUCGCAAAGGAUGGGACCGCCAAUUCCUAGAGGUACCUGCGCUAGGUUCGAUUCCUAGCGUGCCU